UGUGACUCUCUGGCUAGGAAACUCUUUAAACCUGCUGACUGUUCUCCUUUAAUCAAUCAUCUUUAUUGAUUCAGCUCUUCCUCUGCAUGUUCUCUUCUUUCCCAGAGUGUAAAGGAGAAGUCAGAGUGAACCAGCCAACGGGAGAUGUCAUUGCUACUGAAGGAGACACAGUUACACUUGGCUGUACAUUUGCUACCAGUUACACAGGUCUCACUUUGUUCUGGUACAAACAGGAUGGAAACAACAGCCCCAAAAUUAUACUGAGUUGAAAUAAACGGGUUGAAGGGAACACACCAGAUGAGUUUAAGGAGAGAUUUUCAUCCACACUGGAUUCCUUAAAAUCAGUUCCUUUGAAGAUCCAGAAGCAAACACCAAGACUCUGCCAGAGGAUCUCAAGCAGCGGUACACCAAGGUUACUGCCUCUUUUUAAUAUCAUUAGAUAAGACAGAUUGUUAAUGCUGCUGAAGGGCCAGAAGGGUCAUUAAAAUUAUUUCUGAUUUGGAGUCAUUUAACUGCAGGACACUUUUGGACAUCUAGUCCUUAUUUUCAGCGAGGCAGGACAGAAUACAGGACACGUUGGUGGCACCAGGCUUGAUCCGGACAUACAGUUGAGUGUAAUCCGUGUAGCAAUGAAAAUUGAUAUUAUGUCCACACAUGAUUUGCCCCAGGGGUAGCAUGUACAUAGUAAAUAAGAGAGGACCCAGAAUAGACCCCUGAGGGACCCCACAAAACAGAGGAGCACGAGAGGAGGAGGCAUCUCCAAGCAUAACAGAGAAAGACCUUUCUGACAGAUCAGAGAUGAUCCAAUCCAGAGCCACAUCACUGAUGCCAACACAGUUCUUCAGACAUUGUGGUUCACUGAGUCAAAGGCUGCGCUGAGGUCAAGGAGAAUUAAAAUGGAGUACAGGCCAGAGUCAGCAGCAAGCAGAGGAGUCUCUGUUCGAACUGGUGUGACAUACUGCUUUAAAAAUCAAGUGGGCAUGCAGUCUGAAGGGCAGUAUGCAGUCGGGGUUUUGAUUUUUCAGUUGUUUCUCCCAGAUUCAUUCAGGUGAAUUUUCUGCAGAUUCCUCCUUCAGUCUGACCUUCUUGGAUGAUGAUGACUGCAGCAUCACAGUCAUUUCUAAAGCUUCCAUCAGCCUGAAUAGAAACCGACCACAGCAAGAGGAGGAGCUACACCACUGAAUAUGAAAGGCUUCAUUUUGGAACUGAAGAGCUGCUGUGCUCUCUCUAUGGUUCAUUCAGUACAAGUGAAAAUCAUGCAGCGCUCUUUGGUUUGGAUGAUGAUGUUCAUGUUUCAUACAGGAUCCUCUGAGGAUGUAGUGAAACAAUUUAAAGAUGUAAUGCUGGCUUUGGAAGGAGACACUGUGUCUCUCUCCUGCAACUAUUCAGGCACUGUCACCAACGUCUACUGGUAUCAACAGAAGUCCAGUUCAUCUCCAUAGCUUCUCAUCGCAGGUUAUUCAGAGAAAACAGCAAGGUUGUCUGUUACACAUGACACAAAAACAAAAGAGGUUCAUCUGCAGAUCUCCUCUGCUGCAGUGACUGACUCUGCUGUGUACUACUGUGCUCUGCAGCCCACAGUGACAGGAAACACCAAGACUCUGUACAAAAACCUUUGGAGCAAAGACAACAGAAUACUCCACAAAGUCCACUAGAGGGAGUCACACACUGUUAAACCAAUACGUUCAUUGGACUGAUGAGAGGAACUGAAAAAAUAACAUCAAGAGCUGAUUGGCCCCGCCCAUUGAGCUUCAACACAACCAAUGACAUUAUUUCUUACUCAUUCUACUGCAGUGGAAGAACAUUGCUCAUCUGCUGUCUGUCUGGCUUUAACAACUCCAAAGACAUGUUGCUUUACCUCUUUUUACUUUUCUCUCACUUUACAGGACUAAUAUCUGGAGACAAAAUCUCUCCUGUAGGAGAUAAAGUCAGUAAAAGAGAAGGAGAAUCUGUCACACUCACAUGUGAAUAUGAGACAACUGAAGACUAUAUUUACCUUCACUGGUACAGACAUCAUUCUGAC
Siniperca chuatsi (mandarin fish) is the source of this 2023-nucleotide long non-coding RNA. RefSeq lists it as uncharacterized. NCBI's taxonomy places the organism in Eukaryota, Metazoa, Chordata, Actinopteri, Centrarchiformes, Sinipercidae. The record is from RefSeq and is a predicted model, not a curated record. The transcript has 3 exons.